RNAcentral lists this transfer RNA (57 nucleotides) under Capra hircus (goat). It matches the Rfam family "tRNA", at positions 8 to 63 of the family's 71-position model. Rfam says of the family: Transfer RNA (tRNA) molecules are approximately 80 nucleotides in length. Their secondary structure includes four short double-helical elements and three loops (D, anti-codon, and T loops). RNAcentral also lists the same sequence under 1 other name. Lineage: Eukaryota; Metazoa; Chordata; Mammalia; Artiodactyla; Bovidae. The record is from Rfam by way of RNAcentral.
UGGCUCAGAGGUUAAAGCGUCUGCCUAGAACGCAGGAGACCUGGGUUUGAUUCCUGG